Molecule: ribosomal RNA, 497 nt
Filed under: uncultured bacterium
Lineage: Bacteria
Description: partial 16S ribosomal RNA
Rfam family: Bacterial small subunit ribosomal RNA
Source: RNAcentral
GAUGAACGCUGGCGGCGUGCCUAAUACAUGCAAGUCGAGCGAACGGACGAGAAGCUUGCUUCUCUGAUGUUAGCGGCGGACGGGUGAGUAACACGUGGAUAACCUACCUAUAAGACUGGGAUAACUUCGGGAAACCGUAUCUAAUACCGGAUAAUAUUUUGAACCGCAUGGUUCAAAAGUGAAAGACGGUCUUGCUGUCUCUUAUAGAUGGUUCCGCGCUGCAUUAGCUAGUUGGUAAGGUAACGGCUUACCAAGGCAAGGAUGGAUAGCCGACAUGAGAGGGUGAUCGGCCACACUGGAACUGAGACACGGUCCAGACUCCUACGGGAGGCAGCAGUAGGGAAUCUUCCGCAAUGGGCGAAAGCCUGACGGAACAACGCCGCGUGAGUGAUGAAGGCCUUCGGAUCGUAAAACUCUGUUAUUAGGGAAAAACAUAUGUGUAAGUAACUGUGCAGAGCUUGACGGUACCUAAUCAGAAAGCCACGGCUAACUACGUG